This 508-nucleotide ribosomal RNA is filed under the name uncultured bacterium. Its description in RNAcentral is "bacterial SSU rRNA". It matches the Rfam family "Bacterial small subunit ribosomal RNA", at positions 19 to 518 of the family's 1533-position model. The record is from RNAcentral.
CUGGCUCAGGAUGAACGCUAGCUACAGGCUUAACACAUGCAAGUCGAGGGCAGCAUGAGAUUAGCUUGCUAAUCUGAUGGCGACCGGCGCACGGGUGCGUAACACGUAUCCAAUCUACCCAUGGCUCGGGGAUAGCCUUUCGAAAGAAAGAUUAAUACCCGAUGGUCUGCGAUUGAGACAUCUCGAUUGCAGUAAAGACUUGUCGGCGAUGGAUGGGGAUGCGUCCGAUUAGCUAGUUGGCGGGGUAACGGCCCACCAAGGCGACGAUCGGUAGGGGUUCUGAGAGGAAGGUCCCCCACACUGGAACUGAGACACGGUCCAGACUCCUACGGGAGGCAGCAGUGAGGAAUAUUGGUCAAUGGUCGGGAGACUGAACCAGCCAAGUAGCGUGAGGGACGACGGCCCUACGGGUUGUAAACCUCUUUUGUAUGGGAAUAAAGUGAGGCACGUGUGCCUUUUUGUAUGUACCUUACGAAUAAGCAUCGGCUAAUUCCGUGCCAGCAGCCGC